Long non-coding RNA from Bombus huntii, 526 nucleotides. RefSeq lists it as uncharacterized. The record is from RefSeq and is a predicted model, not a curated record. The transcript has 2 exons. Lineage: Eukaryota; Metazoa; Arthropoda; Insecta; Hymenoptera; Apidae.
UAUUUGCACGGCCUGACUUACCGCUCUACGAUACUACUGAAGUCAGUACAAAUACGCUGCGACUAUGAUGUAACUUAAUGUUAAAUUACUAUUAAAAGCCAAAUAUGUUCAUUAUGUACAUUUUUAAAUUUCCCAUUGCUAUACAUAUAAAUCCAUACAAUCGUGUAUAUAUCUUUAUACAAUGUUUAAUGAAAUUCAUGAGAGAUUCCAAGUUGUAUGAUUGAAAGCUAUUAAAAAAUAUAACAUUUGUUUCUAUUUAAUGAUGAUAGCAGUGCCCUCUUGAACUAUAAGUAACCAACUAAUAACAUUAGUGAAUUUACAAAUUGCAAGUCGUAAUUGUAGAAUUCUAUUGCAGACGUGCAGUUUUUACAAUUAUAGGAGUUAGAACUUUUAUGUGUAUUUUACAAGUGUUCAUAGUAGAAUGAUUAUUGUAUGUUAUAAUUUAAGUAAUAUGGCGAAAGCUUGGCCACCCUACUACACUAAUUUAGCAAUGGUAGCACGCAGUUACACACGGUUUCUUCCGUCU